This 375-nucleotide ribosomal RNA is filed under the name Sunetta menstrualis. RNAcentral's name for it is "partial 16S ribosomal RNA". It matches the Rfam family "Bacterial large subunit ribosomal RNA", at positions 1934 to 2541 of the family's 2925-position model. Lineage: Eukaryota; Metazoa; Mollusca; Bivalvia; Venerida; Veneridae. The record is from RNAcentral.
UUGCAAUGAGAGUUGUACUAAGGUAGCAUAGUAAGUAGCCCUUUAAUUGGGGGAUGGAAUGAAUGGUAUGUCAUGGAGAUACUGUCUUUAGUGUAAUUUGAUGAAAUUUUCUUUUAAGUGAAAAGACUUAAAUAUUUGUAAAAGAAGAGAAGACCCUAUCGAGCUUAAUUAGAAAACAAAAUUGAAGAUAGUAUCUGAGGUUUUGUAUUUUGAAGUUUUGUCGGGAGGACAGAAGACUAAAAGGAACGUCUUUUUCUUGAAUAUAGAACCCUUUAUGACGGGGAAAAAGCAGAAGUUACCGUAGGGAUAACAGCGUAAUAUCUUUCUGAGAGAUCGUAUUGAGGAAAGAGUUUGCGACCUCGAUGUUGGAUUAUA